CCUUGAGCUAAUGGAAGAAGACAUAAUGGAGAUCGGGUGGAAAUGGGCCUCCGAAAGCUUUAAAAAAAAAAAACCGGGUUUUAUUGCAAGCUUUGGGAAUGACUGACCCAUGUGACCCUGAGGCUGUCACUGUACCUUCAUGGAACAGUGGCCUCAUCUGUAACCCGAGGAUGCUGGCUGGGACAGCUGGCUUCCGGGAGUCCUCUAAGCCAUCCUUUCUCUAAACCUGUGCAGCCUUCAUUCCUUCUGCCCACGUGAAAACCUGUGACUCUGCUCAUCAGUGAGAGGCCUCUUCCACACAGAGAUGGGCUUUCAACUUGUUGCCCAGGCUGGUCUUAAACUCCUGAUCUCAAGCAAUGUGCCUGCCUCAGCCUCCCAAAGUCCUGGGAUUACAGACAUCAGCCACUGCAUCUGGCCGAAUAUCCAAGAUUUUCAUUGAAGGAGUUACUUAACAUGGCGAGGAGGGCUGGGCAGUGGAGAGAAUGAGCAGGCACAGGUGGCAGUUGGAUUCUCAAUAUAUACCUUUAAAGAAGUUUGAGUGUGAAUCACAGGCUGAAAGGGUUUGGUUCUGUGUCCCCCACCCAAAUCUCAUCUUGUAGCUCCCAUAAUUCUCACAUGUUGUGGGAAGGACCCGGUGGGAAGCAUGGGGGUAGGUCUUUCCCGUGCUGUUCUUGUGAUAGUGAAUGGGUCUCACGACAUCUGAUGGUUUUACAAACGGGAAUUUCCCUGCACAAGUUCUCUUCUGUUGUCUGCCACCAUGUGAGAUGUGCCUUUCGUAGUCCUCUGUCAUGAUUGUGAGGCCUCCCCAGGCACAUGGAAAUGUCAGUCCAAUUAAACCUAUCUUUUGUAAGUUUCUCAGUCUUGGGUAUGUCUUUAUUAGCAGCAUGAAAAUGGACUAAUA
RNAcentral lists this long non-coding RNA (901 nucleotides) under Homo sapiens (human). RNAcentral describes it as "HSALNT0026706". Lineage: Eukaryota; Metazoa; Chordata; Mammalia; Primates; Hominidae. The record is from RNAcentral.